GACGAACGCUGGCGGCGUGCCUAACACAUGCAAGUCGAACGGAAGUUAGAGCUUCGGUUUUAACUUUAGUGGCGAACGGGUGAGUAACGCGUGAGGAACCUGCCUUUCAGUGGGGGACAACAGUUGGAAACGACUGCUAAUACCGCAUGACACUUUUGGGGGACAUCCCUUAAAAGUCAAAGCUUUAUGUGCUGAAAGAUGGCCUCGCGUCUGAUUAGCUAGUUGGUGAGGUAACGGCUCACCAAGGCGACGAUCAGUAGCCGGUCUGAGAGGAUGAACGGCCACAUUGGGACUGAGAUACGGCCCAGACUCCUACGGGAGGCAGCAGUGGGGAAUAUUGGGCAAUGGGGGAAACCCUGACCCAGCAACGCCGCGUGAAGGAAGAAGGCCUUCGGGUUGUAAACUUCUUUUACCAGGGACGAAGGACGUGACGGUACCUGGAGAAAAAGCAACGGCUAACUACGUG
RNAcentral lists this ribosomal RNA (466 nucleotides) under uncultured organism. RNAcentral describes it as "bacterial SSU rRNA". It matches the Rfam family "Bacterial small subunit ribosomal RNA", at positions 28 to 507 of the family's 1533-position model. The record is from RNAcentral.